AGUGAACGCUGGCGGUAGGCCUAACACAUGCAAGUCGAACGGCAGCACAGUAAGAGCUUGCUCUUACGGGUGGCGAGUGGCGGACGGGUGAGGAAUACAUCGGAGUCUACUUUUUCGUGGGGGAUAACGUAGGGAAACUUACGCUAAUACCGCAUACGACCUACGGGUGAAAGCAGGGGAUCUUCGGACCUUGCGCGAUUGAAUGAGCCGAUGUCGGAUUAGCUAGUUGGCGGGGUAAAGGCCCACCAAGGCGACGAUCCGUAGCUGGUCUGAGAGGAUGAUCAGCCACACUGGAACUGGGACACGGUCCAGACUCCUACGGGAGGCAGCAGUGGGGAAUAUUGGACAAUGGGCGCAAGCCUGAUCCAGCCAUACCGCGUGGGUGAAGAAGGCCUUCGGGUUGUAAAGCCCUUUUGUUGGGAAAGAAAAGCAGCAGGUUAAUACCCCGCUGUUCUGACGGUACCCAAAGAAUAAGCACCGGCUAACUUCGUG
Molecule: ribosomal RNA, 492 nt
Filed under: uncultured bacterium
Lineage: Bacteria
Description: partial 16S ribosomal RNA
Rfam family: Bacterial small subunit ribosomal RNA
Source: RNAcentral